This is a long non-coding RNA of Argiope bruennichi, 215 nucleotides long. RefSeq lists it as uncharacterized. The transcript has 3 exons. NCBI's taxonomy places the organism in Eukaryota, Metazoa, Arthropoda, Arachnida, Araneae, Araneidae. The record is from RefSeq and is a predicted model, not a curated record.
AUCGAUUAAAUUAUCAAAAUUGCCGGUUCGAAGAUAAUUCCAUCCUCACUUCUUAUAUGUUUUCAUCGCGGAAAAUGGUUUGCCUAGAAUAUUUAAAAGAUAGUCAAAAAGGCGGUAUCAAAUACUAAAAGCACAGUCAGAUUGCCUACCGUUUUACUAUACCUAAAGAUUACUUUCUUAACUUUUGCUGCCACCGUUCCGAAAAUUGAAUGGAG